Molecule: ribosomal RNA, 445 nt
Filed under: uncultured bacterium
Lineage: Bacteria
Description: bacterial SSU rRNA
Rfam family: Bacterial small subunit ribosomal RNA
Source: RNAcentral
GUAAGGAAUAUUGGACAAUGGAGGCAACUCUGAUCCAGCCAUGCCGCGUGAAGGAUGAAGGCCCUAUGGGUCGUAAACUUCUUUUGUACGGGAGAAAACCAUUUCACGUGUGAGAUGUUGAUAGUACCGUAAGAAUAAGGAUCGGCUAACUUCGUGCCAGCAGCCGCGGUAAGACGAAGGAUCCAAGCGUUAUCCGGAUUCAUUGGGUUUAAAGGGUGCGUAGGCGGAUUUGUAAGUCAGUGGUGAAAGCCGAUAGCUCAACUAUCGAACUGCCAUUGAUACUGCAGAUCUAGAAUAUAGAUGAUGUUGGCGGAAUAUGACAUGUAGCGGUGAAAUGCAUAGAUAUGUCAUAGAACACCGAUUGCGAAGGCAGCUGACAAAACUAUUAUUGACGCUGAUGCACGAAAGUGCGGGGAUCAAACAGGAUUAGAAACCCCAGUAGUCC